Arvicola amphibius (Eurasian water vole) is the source of this 597-nucleotide long non-coding RNA. RefSeq lists it as uncharacterized. The transcript is spliced from 3 exons. NCBI's taxonomy places the organism in Eukaryota, Metazoa, Chordata, Mammalia, Rodentia, Cricetidae. The record is from RefSeq and is a predicted model, not a curated record.
AUGUCGUAAAGUUGGAGAUACCUGUCCGUGUGGUUUAGAGUAGGAACUACAGACACGGUGGCGACUGUUUAUACUUUCGCGGAGUGCUGCUGUGGAGGGGUGCUCAGAGGAUGGUGGCCGGUGGGCGCUUCCAGGGAUGAGGGAGACAAACAACGAGGAGGAGCCUCAAACUUGCUUAAUCUGUAGCUGAGGAGAACCUUGAACAUCUGCUCCUUCCCACUUCACGUUCCACGUUCCUGUCUACAGACCAUUUGAAGUGGGAAGACCAACUUCCAACCUGAGUCUUUUGAGGCGGGAAGAUCCACCUUUCAUCCCGGCCACACCUUCUGCUGGCGGCCUGUAUAGAAAGACAUGGAAGAAGGAAACUUCUGCCCUUUGUCUGCUCGCCCUACGCUGGCUGCCAAGUUCAUCCCUUCCCUGGCAGCAGAGCCUACUUCCUCAGAUUCUGAUGUCUGGCGCACACCAGCUGAGACAGCCAGCCCUUGUGGGCUGAACCAUUGUUGGAGUCUUGGACCUUCGGUUGGUAGUCAGCCUUUGCUGAACUAGCUGGACCACAGGCUGCAAGUCAGUCUAAUAAAUCCCCUUUAUCUAUAUAAA